ACUUUUUUAGUAUUAACUUGUAUAUUUGACUUCCAAUCAAAAGGACUUAAAUCUAAGAAAAAGUA
This 65-nucleotide transfer RNA is filed under the name Philaenus spumarius (meadow spittlebug). RNAcentral's name for it is "tRNA-Gly". Lineage: Eukaryota; Metazoa; Arthropoda; Insecta; Hemiptera; Aphrophoridae. The record is from RNAcentral.